RNAcentral lists this small RNA (22 nucleotides) under Arabidopsis thaliana (thale cress). RNAcentral describes it as "ATSL152070". The record is from RNAcentral. Lineage: Eukaryota; Viridiplantae; Streptophyta; Magnoliopsida; Brassicales; Brassicaceae.
CAGGGCGGCUAUGAUGACAUAC